UACAACCAGAUCUGUUCAGGUGCACAUCGUGCUUAAAAGGGAACUCCUGUGCGAAUCAGGGACGGGCCCGCCGCUGUAAGUGGGGACGAAGGCUUCCAAAAACACCACUGUCGAUUAAAAGCCGGUAAUUAAAGGCUUAAAAAUCGGCGGGAAGGUAGAGGCCUGCCGGAUGAUCCACAAGUCAGAAGACCUGCCGGACAAAUGGGUGUAUU
RNAcentral lists this non-coding RNA (212 nucleotides) under Deltaproteobacteria bacterium. Lineage: Bacteria; Pseudomonadati; Myxococcota; Myxococcia. The record is from RNAcentral.